Molecule: ribosomal RNA, 293 nt
Filed under: uncultured eukaryote
Lineage: Eukaryota
Description: partial 18S ribosomal RNA
Rfam family: Eukaryotic small subunit ribosomal RNA
Source: RNAcentral
GGUUGAUCCUGCCAGUAGUCAUAUGCUUGUCCCAAAGAUUAAGCCAUGCAUGUCUAAGUAUAAACAAAUCUGUACUGUGAAACUGCGAAUGGCUCAUUAAAUCAGUUAUAAUUUACUUGAUAGUCACUUUAUCAUUGGAUAACCGUGGUAAUUCUAGAGCUAAUACAUGCAACAAGCCUGACUUUGGAAGGGCUGUAUUUAUUAGAUACAAAACUGACGGCACUCGUGUCUUUGGUGAUUCAUAAUAACUUUGCGGAUCGCAUGGCCUUGCGCCGGCGACGUUUCAUUCAAAU